RNAcentral lists this unclassified non-coding RNA (228 nucleotides) under Hevea brasiliensis (rubber tree). The record is from RNAcentral. Lineage: Eukaryota; Viridiplantae; Streptophyta; Magnoliopsida; Malpighiales; Euphorbiaceae.
AUGGAGAAUGGUUUCCAUAUCUGGUCCUUUCACGGGAAGCUGCUGUACAAGAUUUCCAAGGACCACUUCUUUCAGUUCAUGUGGCGACCACGACCACCUUCGCUGCUGACCCCUGAGAAGGAGGAGGAGAUCUCUAAGAACUUGAAAAAGUACAGUAAGAAGUAUGAGGCGGAGGACCAGGACGUGUCAGCGCAGGUGAGCGAGCAGGAGAGGCAGCGGAGAAGGGGG